Molecule: ribosomal RNA, 260 nt
Filed under: Escherichia coli
Lineage: Bacteria; Pseudomonadati; Pseudomonadota; Gammaproteobacteria; Enterobacterales; Enterobacteriaceae
Description: partial 23S ribosomal RNA
Rfam family: Bacterial large subunit ribosomal RNA
Source: RNAcentral
GGCGACGGUUGUCCCGGUUUAAGCGUGUAGGCUGGUUUUCCAGGCAAAUCCGGAAAAUCAAGGCUGAGGCGUGAUGACGAGGCACUACGGUGCUGAAGCAACAAAUGCCCUGCUUCCAGGAAAAGCCUCUAAGCAUCAGGUAACAUCAAAUCGUACCCCAAACCGACACAGGUGGUCAGGUAGAGAAUACCAAGGCGCUUGAGAGAACUCGGGUGAAGGAACUAGGCAAAAUGGUGCCGUAACUUCGGGAGAAGGCACGC